UGAAAUCUUUGAUGAAGAAAUUAUCGAUACUGAUAGUAUAUGAGUGUUAUACAAUUUAUCACCAUCUUUCGACUGAGAUUUCA
Small nucleolar RNA from Impatiens glandulifera, 83 nucleotides. NCBI's taxonomy places the organism in Eukaryota, Viridiplantae, Streptophyta, Magnoliopsida, Ericales, Balsaminaceae. The record is from RefSeq and is a predicted model, not a curated record.